UACGUAGGGUGCAAGCGUUGUCCGGAAUUAUUGGGCGUAAAGAGCUCGUAGGCGGUUUGUUGCGUCGGCUGUGAAAUCCCGAGGCUCAACCUCGGGUCUGCAGUCGAUACGAGCAAACUAGAGUGUUGCAGGGGAGACUGGAAUUCCUGGUGUAGCGGUGAAAUGCGUAGAUAUCGGGAGGAACACCGGUGGCGAAGGCGGCCUUCUGGACGGAUACUGACGCUGAGACGCGAAAGCGUGGGGAGCAAACAGG
This 253-nucleotide ribosomal RNA is filed under the name uncultured bacterium. RNAcentral describes it as "partial 16S ribosomal RNA". It matches the Rfam family "Bacterial small subunit ribosomal RNA", at positions 524 to 776 of the family's 1533-position model. The record is from RNAcentral.